This 253-nucleotide ribosomal RNA is filed under the name uncultured bacterium. RNAcentral's name for it is "partial 16S ribosomal RNA". It matches the Rfam family "Bacterial small subunit ribosomal RNA", at positions 524 to 776 of the family's 1533-position model. The record is from RNAcentral.
UACGUAGGUGGCAAGCGUUGUCCGGAUUUAUUGGGUUUAAAGGGUGCGUAGGCGGCCUAUUAAGUCAGUGCUGAAAUAUCCCGGCUUAACCGGGAGGGUGGCAUUGAUACUGAUGGGCUUGAGUAGAGUCGAGGUAGGCGGAAUUGACGGUGUAGCGGUGAAAUGCUUAGAUAUCAGGAGGAACACCGAUGGCGAAGGCAGGUCUCUGGGCUGACACUGACGCUCAUGCACGAAAGCGUGGGGAGCAAACAGG